CUGGAUGAGCGAGUGGCGAACGGGUGAGUAAUGUAUCGGAACGUGCCUAGUAGCGGGGGAUAACUACGCGAAAGCGUAGCUAAUACCGCAUACGCCCUACGGGGGAAAGCAGGGGAUCGCAAGACCUUGCACUAUUAGAGCGGCCGAUAUCGGAUUAGCUAGUUGGUGGGGUAACGGCUCACCAAGGCGACGAUCCGUAGCUGGUUUGAGAGGACGACCAGCCACACUGGGACUGAGACACGGCCCAGACUCCUACGGGAGGCAGCAGUGGGGAAUUUUGGACAAUGGGGGAAACCCUGAUCCAGCCAUCCCGCGUGUGCGAUGAAGGCCUUCGGGUUGUAAAGCACUUUUGGCAGGAAAGAAACGUCAUGGGCUAAUACCCCGUGAAACUGACGGUACCUGCAGAAUAAGCACCGGCUAACUACGUGCCAGCAGCCGCGGU
Molecule: ribosomal RNA, 442 nt
Filed under: Achromobacter spanius
Lineage: Bacteria; Pseudomonadati; Pseudomonadota; Betaproteobacteria; Burkholderiales; Alcaligenaceae
Description: bacterial SSU rRNA
Rfam family: Bacterial small subunit ribosomal RNA
Source: RNAcentral